RNAcentral lists this ribosomal RNA (237 nucleotides) under Glomeromycotina sp. RNAcentral's name for it is "partial small subunit ribosomal RNA". The stretch from base 40 to 237 matches the Rfam family "Eukaryotic small subunit ribosomal RNA", at positions 686 to 885 of the family's 1831-position model. Lineage: Eukaryota; Fungi; Glomeromycota. The record is from RNAcentral.
GGGUCAGUAGGUUGGUCGUGCCACCGGUACGUACUGGUCUCACUGAUUCCUCCUUCCUGAAGAACCGUAAUGCCAUUAAUUUGGUGUUGCGGGGAAACAGGACUGUUACUUUGAAAAAAUUAGAGUGUUUAAAGCAAGCUAACGCUUGAAUACAUUAGCAUGGAAUAAUGAAAUAGGACGAUCGAUCCUAUUUUGUUGGUUUCUAGGAUUGACGUAAUGAUUAAUAGGGAUAUUGGG